UGCCGUUGAACUGCGUUUAAAAGAUUUAAAAGUUCAUAAAAGUCGAUAAUUGUGACUUUGGCGUGAUUAAACUGUCGUAUGUUGGUUGAUAUUGUGUCCGACUCGCCCUGUGCGUUGAGUCUUACUGUAAUUGUUGUAAAUGUUUUAUUUAAUGAAUCGCGGUAAAAAGCCUGAAGGCUAAUGUUAGCAUGCUAGGCGGCCCCAGUACAGAGGGGAGGAAACCCCGUUGGUCCGGCUAACGGCUGCAUCCUGUCAGCUCCAGCCUGCGGAGUGUUUAUGGUGAUGCAGAUAUCGUUACGGGUGAUGGAGAUUGAAAAACCGACUGAAAGUCCAGAACUGUGCCGGGGUUACUGAUUGAUGCCAGAACACAAGGUGGAGUACAUCGGCAGACACACACGCCCUACGGACAACAGCGCUGGAACCGGAAGAGGGAAGCAGCCUUCCAGAUGACUGACUGAUUGGUCCCAGAGCCAUAAUAGUGCCAUUGAUCUCACUUAGGGACGAAAGCCCUUGGAACAGCCUGAACAUGCUGGUCCAGAUGCUGCCCUGGCAAAGAACCCAUCGAUUGAUCUAUGAAGUUCAGGUGCUAGUCUCCUGGGAAACUCUUACAGGGUAACUUCAGAUAUCUUUGACAAGCCACUAACCACAGUCUGCAGGACCAUACAUUUCCCCAAACCAGAAGCGAUGGAGUAGGCGGGACUGACUUUGUCGCCUUGCUGACCAUGAGGCCUUCUGCUGUGCUGCCGGUGCCGCGUCAGGAUUCUUCCUCCUGCAGAGCCACAGAAGAAAUGCUGUAUUUCCCCUCAGUGCUGCUGCAGGGCCUUUGUGAUGCCACAGGCCCAUUUCUGGAUGUGUACAUUGGCAAUCCAGGAUCUGUACAAAGUACCAACCUGUAUCCACCAGCUGGGUACUUCCUGUUAGGAGAUGGAGGAUAUCUAUUGCACCACCGCCAGGUGGCAGCACUCACACUACCAGCCUCUUCUCAUUUGACUGUGGGUGGGACCCUAAGCUGCUGGAAAUUGGGUUUUAAUGACACUGUGAAACUGUUUCCUCAGUUGUCCCUUGAUUAAAAUAUGAUUUAUGCGAGUUUUAAUGCA
This is a long non-coding RNA of Micropterus salmoides (largemouth bass), 1097 nucleotides long. RefSeq lists it as uncharacterized. The transcript is spliced from 4 exons. The record is from RefSeq and is a predicted model, not a curated record. NCBI's taxonomy places the organism in Eukaryota, Metazoa, Chordata, Actinopteri, Centrarchiformes, Centrarchidae.